Molecule: ribosomal RNA, 860 nt
Filed under: Fusarium proliferatum
Lineage: Eukaryota; Fungi; Ascomycota; Sordariomycetes; Hypocreales; Nectriaceae
Description: SSU rRNA
Rfam family: Eukaryotic small subunit ribosomal RNA
Source: RNAcentral
UUUUAGCAUGGGAAUAAUGGAAUAGGACGUGUGGUUCUAUUUUGUUGGUUUCUAGGACCGCCGUAAUGAUUAAUAGGGACAGUCGGGGGCAUCAGUAUUCAAUUGUCAGAGGUGAAAUUCUUGGAUUUAUUGAAGACUAACUACUGCGAAAGCAUUUGCCAAGGAUGUUUUCAUUAAUCAGGAACGAAAGUUAGGGGAUCGAAGACGAUCAGAUACCGUCGUAGUCUUAACCAUAAACUAUGCCGACUAGGGAUCGGACGGUGUUAUUUUUUGACCCGUUCGGCACCUUACGAGAAAUCAAAGUGCUUGGGCUCCAGGGGGAGUAUGGUCGCAAGGCUGAAACUUAAAGAAAUUGACGGAAGGGCACCACCAGGGGUGGAGCCUGCGGCUUAAUUUGACUCAACACGGGGAAACUCACCAGGUCCAGACACAAUGAGGAUUGACAGAUUGAGAGCUCUUUCUUGAUUUUGUGGGUGUUGGCUUUAAAUAAAAUGCUUCCCUCCCGGGGGAGUAUGGUGGCAAGGCUGAAACUUAAAGAAAUUGACGGAAGGGCACCACCAGGGGUGGAGCCUGCGGCUUAAUUUGACUCAACACGGGGAAACUCACCAGGUCCAGACACAAUGAGGAUUGACAGAUUGAGAGCUCUUUUUUGAUUUUGUGGGUUCCGAUNUUCCUUCCCCCCACCUUUAAAAAGACCAUCUAAAGAAAUCCCGGGAACGUUUUAUAUACCCUCCAUUUACUGUGUUACCGUCCCCCCAAUCUUAACAAAGUGCUCGGGGCAACCCCCACGAUCAGUGAUGUGUCACAUCUGGUCCACCGUAAGCAAGUAUGGGGAGAUCGCGGUCCCACUCCUGGGAACG